Molecule: ribosomal RNA, 470 nt
Filed under: uncultured organism
Description: partial 16S ribosomal RNA
Rfam family: Bacterial small subunit ribosomal RNA
Source: RNAcentral
ACUCCUGCGGGAGGCAGCAGUGGGGAAUAUUGCACAAUGGGCGCAAGCCUGAUGCAGCCAUGCCGCGUGUAUGAAGAAGGCCUUCGGGUUGUAAAGUACUUUCAGCGGGGAGGAAGGCGAUAAGGUUAAUAACCUUGUCGAUUGACGUUACCCGCAGAAGAAGCACCGGCUAACUCCGUGCCAGCAGCCGCGGUAAUACGGAGGGUGCAAGCGUUAAUCGGAAUUACUGGGCGUAAAGCGCACGCAGGCGGUCUGUCAAGUCGGAUGUGAAAUCCCCGGGCUCAACCUGGGAACUGCAUUCGAAACUGGCAGGCUAGAGUCUUGUAGAGGGGGGUAGAAUUCCAGGUGUAGCGGUGAAAUGCGUAGAGAUCUGGAGGAAUACCGGUGGCGAAGGCGGCCCCCUGGACAAAGACUGACGCUCAGGUGCGAAAGCGUGGGGAGCAAACAGGAUUAGAAACCCGGGUAGUCCC